GUGGAGGGAACGAGGGGAAGUGAAACAUCUCAGUACCCUCAGGAAGAGAAAACAAUAGUGAUUCCGUGAGUAGUGGCGAGCGAAAGCGGAUGAGGCUAAACCAUGCACAUGUGAUACCGGGUAGGGGUUGUGUGUGUGGUGUUGUGGGGUUCAUCUUUCCAGCUCUACCUGGCUGGACAGCAGUAAGAAAGUGUCAUGUUAGGUGAAGUGGCCUGGAAUGGUCCGCCGGAGAGGGUGAGAGUCCCGUAACUGAAAACGUGGUGCCUGUUGUGAUGGAUACCCGAGUAGCAGCGAGCCCGUGGAAUUUGCUGUGAAUCUGCCGGGACCACCCGGUAAGCCUGAAUACUACCUUGCGACCGAUAGCGGACAAGUACCGUGAGGGAAAGGUGAAAAGUACCCCGGGAGGGGAGUGAAAUAGUACCUGAAACCGUGUGCUUACAAUCCGUCAGAGCCCUCGUUGUGGGGUGAUGGCGUGCCUUUUGAAGAAUGAGCCUGCGAGUCAGUGCUCGGUGGCGAGGUUAACCCGUCUGGGGGUAGCCGUAGCGAAAGCGAGUCCGAAUAGGGCGUUUGAGUCGCCGGGUCUGGACCCGAAGCGGAGUGAUCUACCCAUGGCCA
This 615-nucleotide ribosomal RNA is filed under the name Tsukamurella tyrosinosolvens. Its description in RNAcentral is "bacterial LSU rRNA". It matches the Rfam family "Bacterial large subunit ribosomal RNA", at positions 174 to 742 of the family's 2925-position model. The record is from RNAcentral. Lineage: Bacteria; Bacillati; Actinomycetota; Actinomycetes; Mycobacteriales; Tsukamurellaceae.